Long non-coding RNA from Stegostoma tigrinum, 738 nucleotides. RefSeq lists it as uncharacterized. NCBI's taxonomy places the organism in Eukaryota, Metazoa, Chordata, Chondrichthyes, Orectolobiformes, Stegostomatidae. The transcript has 5 exons. The record is from RefSeq and is a predicted model, not a curated record.
UUUGUUGGGUUUGGGGGGAGGGGCGGUCUUUGUGAGUCCGCCAUUUGCAGCGAAGCGCCGUCCCACCCGUCGCCACCUUCCCGGGACCUCACCACGUCGUGGGCCCCAGUUUCCUUCAGUUUUCCUCUUCCCCGGCUCCGGGUCGCCCGCCGCUAUCGGAGAAAACAGCGAAAACCUGAGGUUCAGGAGCCGAUUGUGAUCCAAACGCCAGAGAGCAGAAGGAGGACGGCCCUUCCCUAGGAGCAGGAAACAGCAGAAAGAGUGAUCGUAACUUCAAAACAAGGAAGACAGCGCUCCUCUUUUAUUCCACCACCCCCCCCCCCCACCACUCCCUACCCCCAACUCCUACCCCAGCCCUGUCGCCAACCCAUCAGGAGCUGAAAGACAGUACCCCGCCAGCUCUCUCUCUCUCUGUUCAGCGGAAAGAGCAGUCAUUACACCUAAACCAGGAAGACAACGUCUCCCUUUUCCUACCUCCCCUUCCCCCUCCCCCCUCCCCCCUGGCCCCCUCCCAUCCAAUCUUUCCCACCCGCACCCCCCCACCCAAACUCUCCCAGUAUUCUUCCCUCCAGUCCCCCAAAAGACCCAAGACCAACCAGGAAGAGAAAGCAGGACCACCAACCGCCUUGUGUUCUCCAUCGGUUGAUUGAGUUGCCAUCAGCCUCAGACGUUGGAUGAUGGAAUCAGCUGUUGAAGGUGGAUUGAAUGUAACCCUCAGCCUGCGGCUCCUGAUGCACG